AGUGCGGAUGCACUGAGAAAGGCGCAAAAAAAAAAAAAAAAAAAAAAAAAAAGAGAGGGAAAAGAAAAAGAAUCUCUCAAACUUUGGCCAUUUGGUGCUGGAUUCAGCUUGGAGACCUGCUUUACCACCCGACCGAGACAGCAUAAGUUGAUUCUUGGUAAGUAUUGCAUUUACUGUGUUUUGUACAUUUAUAAUAUUAUCAGCAGCUAGGUGUAACAAGAAUAACAUUCAGUUGAAAUUUGUGCAUUUUAUGUAGUCUUUUCAUGAAACCGUUUCAAUGAAGUAAGCUAUGAAAUAGUGUGAUGGCUGAGAUUUUUACUUGUUUUUACUCUUUCUGCCUCAACAGAAUCUUUUCAACUUCCAUCUACACUUCUGGACCACCUUACUGCAGUGAGAUGAUUUGGCGUUGUGUCAUAUGCUACAUUUUUGUGGCACUAACUCUGAAAAAACUACUGGGCCACAUUAAUACUAUGCACAGUCGCAGUCCUGACUUUCGUGUAGUAUGUGGCAUUGAUGGCUGUCCCAGUGAGUACCGGGUGUAUAACUCCUAUUAUUAUCACAUAAAGCGAAACCAUGCACACCACCUUCUGCAAGCUGAAGGAGAGGAGGAGGAGGAAGAGGCAUCGACUCUGCAUUACUCACCAGAAACAUCCGAAAUGGCAGCAACAAUUAACCAAACAGGGGUGAGCAUCCCCGAAAUGGCCAGUUCAGCACAAGAACAUUCUUCUGAGAUUGAAAGAGGUCCACACAUCAUCAACCAAACGAGUGGAUUUCAAGAAGGUCAAGACCACAUCAACCUGUGUAAACAAGCAACCGGAUUUCUCCUUCAAGCCAGAGAAACCCAGCGCCUAACACAAAGAGCUGUUAACCAGAUGGUGAAUGGAGUCCAGCAAUACCAGGCUUCACUGUUGGAGCACCUGAAACAUCAAAUGAGUAGUGUGUUCGAGAGACAUUCUGGGGACCUGAAUCAACUGAAGAGUGAAGUAAUGAGCAUAUUUGACCAGUUUGAUGACCCUUUCAACCAAAUUUCCACAACAUACUUGCAGAAUAA
This is a long non-coding RNA of Salarias fasciatus (jewelled blenny), 1051 nucleotides long. RefSeq lists it as uncharacterized. The record is from RefSeq and is a predicted model, not a curated record. NCBI's taxonomy places the organism in Eukaryota, Metazoa, Chordata, Actinopteri, Blenniiformes, Blenniidae. The transcript is spliced from 3 exons.